AAUUCUCAAACCUUGAUCAGUUUUGCGCUGACUUUCAAGGCUUUGGAUGUGGGAGUCUUUUGCUGGUACACUUUUGGAUCAGCUCUCCUUAAAUGCAUUAGCGGUUACUUGAUCCCCUUUCCCUGGUGUGAUAAUUAUCUACGCCUCUGAAACGAUCAGCAUUGUAUCAGCUUCUAACUGUCCAUUGACUUGGACAACUUUUAAUUGACC
Molecule: unclassified non-coding RNA, 210 nt
Filed under: uncultured Mycena
Lineage: Eukaryota; Fungi; Basidiomycota; Agaricomycetes; Agaricales; Tricholomataceae
Description: sequence contains ITS2
Source: RNAcentral